Vombatus ursinus (common wombat) is the source of this 51-nucleotide microRNA precursor. The record is from Ensembl. NCBI's taxonomy places the organism in Eukaryota, Metazoa, Chordata, Mammalia, Diprotodontia, Vombatidae.
CAACAUAUUAAAUGGAUUUUUGGAGCAGGGAGAUGGAAUAGGAGCUUGCUC